RNAcentral lists this unclassified non-coding RNA (18 nucleotides) under Mus musculus (house mouse). RNAcentral's name for it is "oocyte_clustered_small_RNA10546". Lineage: Eukaryota; Metazoa; Chordata; Mammalia; Rodentia; Muridae. The record is from RNAcentral.
UAGAACCCCUGAUGCCAG